Molecule: long non-coding RNA, 391 nt
Filed under: Elaeis guineensis (African oil palm)
Lineage: Eukaryota; Viridiplantae; Streptophyta; Magnoliopsida; Arecales; Arecaceae
Description: long non-coding RNA (EGUI_LNC040774)
Source: RNAcentral
UCCUGUGCAUUAGAUGCUCCAUCAAUGUGCAGCAUCCAUAUUGACAUUGAGUCAGAUUUGGAGAUCGUGGCCUAUUUUAUUUGUCAUUAGCUUCAUCCUCAAGAUUAUUAUCACGUAUUGCACACUCGAUGAUGAAGUCAGCUAAAACUUACGCCUUUAUUGAUGGACGUGGGCGAUAUUGUAUAUCAAAUUCAUCAAGCUUUAUUGCCCACUUUGCCGUUCGACCUGAUGUAUCAGGUCGAUGUAAGAUUGUCUUCUACGGCUGAUCUGUUAAGACAACAAUAGGAUGUGCUUGAAAGUAUGGAUGAAGUCGCUGCGAUGAUAUGAUCAAGCCUAGAUCAUCUUCUCUGCUCUUGAAUAUCUUACUUCAGUAUUAUGAAGCACCUUGCUA